RNAcentral lists this transfer RNA (72 nucleotides) under Candidatus Providencia siddallii. Its description in RNAcentral is "transfer RNA Arginine". It matches the Rfam family "tRNA". Rfam says of the family: Transfer RNA (tRNA) molecules are approximately 80 nucleotides in length. The record is from RNAcentral. Lineage: Bacteria; Pseudomonadati; Pseudomonadota; Gammaproteobacteria; Enterobacterales; Morganellaceae.
GUCCUCUUAGUUAAAUGGAUAUAACAAGCCUCUCCUAAGGGUUUAUUGUAGGUUCGAUUCCUACAGAGGACG